AUUGAACGCUGACGGCAUGCCUUACACAUGCAAGUCGAACGGCAGCACGGGAGCAAUCCUGGUGGCGAGUGGCGAACGGGUGAGUAAAGUAUCGGAACGUGCCCAGUCGUGGGGGAUAACGUAGCGAAAGUUACGCUAAUACCGCAUACGAUCUAUGGAUGAAAGCGGGGGAUCGCAAGACCUCGCGCGAUUGGAGCGGCCGAGAUCAGAUUAGGUAGGUGGGGGGGUAAAGGCUCACCAAGCCGACGAUCUGUAGCUGGUCUGAGAGGACGACCAGCCAUGCUGGGACUGGGACACGGCCCAGACUCCUACGGGAGGCAGCAGUGGGGAAUUUUGGACAAUGGGCGAAAGCCUGAUCCAGCCAUGCCGCGGGCAGGAUGAAGGCCUUCGGGUUGUAAACUGCUUUUGUACGGAACGAAAAGGUUUGGCCUAAUAAGCUGAGCUCAUGACGGUACCGUAAGAAUAAGCACCGGCUAACUACGUGCCAGCCGCCGCCGUAA
Molecule: ribosomal RNA, 500 nt
Filed under: uncultured bacterium
Lineage: Bacteria
Description: partial 16S ribosomal RNA
Rfam family: Bacterial small subunit ribosomal RNA
Source: RNAcentral